GUGAAUCAUCAAAUCUUUGAACGCAAAUUGCACUCUCUUCGGAGAGUAUGCCUGUUUGAGUUUCAGCCUAAAAAAAAAUCAACAUAGUCGCUGUUUCUCCGUUACAUUCUUCGGAAAUUGAUGCAUCUUAAACCUUUGUCUUUUAAGCGGCUUAAAAUUUUCUUUACUAUUCUACAAACGUUUCUAAUAUUUACUUCUUACUCUUUUAAGUCAAUUAAUCUGUAUUAUAAGU
This 232-nucleotide unclassified non-coding RNA is filed under the name Glomus sp. Its description in RNAcentral is "partial contains 5.8S ribosomal RNA and internal transcribed spacer 2". The stretch from base 1 to 65 matches the Rfam family "5.8S ribosomal RNA", at positions 84 to 154 of the family's 154-position model. The record is from RNAcentral. Lineage: Eukaryota; Fungi; Glomeromycota; Glomeromycetes; Glomerales; Glomeraceae.